Molecule: ribosomal RNA, 192 nt
Filed under: uncultured bacterium
Lineage: Bacteria
Description: partial 16S ribosomal RNA
Rfam family: Bacterial small subunit ribosomal RNA
Source: RNAcentral
AAUGAACGCUGGCGGCGCGCCUAACACAUGCAAGUCGAGCGAGAAAGUUCCUUCGGGGAUGAGUACAGCGGCAGACGGUUGAGUAACACGUGAGAAACUACCCUUUAGUGAAGAAUACCAUCGAGAAAUCGGUGUUAAUGCUGCAUACGUCCCUUCGGGGGAGAAAGAUGGCCUCUUUGCUAUCGCUAAAGG